GAUGAACGCUGGCGGCGUGCCUAAUACAUGCAAGUCGAGCGAAUGGAUUAAGAGCUUGCUCUUAUGAAGUUAGCGGCGGACGGGUGAGUAACACGUGGGUAACCUGCCCAUAAGACUGGGAUAACUCCGGGAAACCGGGGCUAAUACCGGAUAACAUUUUGAACCGCAUGGUUCGAAAUUGAAAGGCGGCUUCGGCUGUCACUUAUGGAUGGACCCGCGUCGCAUUAGCUAGUUGGUGAGGUAACGGCUCACCAAGGCAACGACGCGUAGCCGACCUGAGAGGGUGAACGGCCACACUGGGACUGAGACACGGCCCAGACUCCUACGGGAGGCAGCAGUAGGGAAUCUUCCGCAAUGGACGAAAGUCUGACGGAGCAACGCCGCGUGAGUGAUGAAGGCUUUCGGGUCGUAAAACUCUGUUGUUAGGGAAGAACAAGUGCUAGUUGAAUAAGCUGGCACCUUGACGGUACCUAACCAGAAAGCCACGGCUAACUACGUGCCAGCCGCCGCCGUAA
RNAcentral lists this ribosomal RNA (515 nucleotides) under uncultured bacterium. RNAcentral describes it as "partial 16S ribosomal RNA". It matches the Rfam family "Bacterial small subunit ribosomal RNA", at positions 28 to 523 of the family's 1533-position model. The record is from RNAcentral.